This 442-nucleotide ribosomal RNA is filed under the name uncultured bacterium. RNAcentral's name for it is "partial 16S ribosomal RNA". It matches the Rfam family "Bacterial small subunit ribosomal RNA", at positions 338 to 795 of the family's 1533-position model. The record is from RNAcentral.
CCUACGGGAGGCAGCAGUGGGGAAUAUUGGGCAAUGGGCGCAAGCCUGACCCAGCAACGCCGCGUGAAGGAAGAAGGCUCUCGGGUUGUAAACUUCUUUUGUCAGGGAAGAGUAGAAGACGGUACCUGACGAAUAAGCCACGGCUAACUACGUGCCCGCCGCCGCGGUAAUACGUAGGUGGCACGCGUAGUCCGGAUUUACUGGGUGUAAAGGGCGUGUAGCCGGGUUGACAAGUCAGAUGCGAAAUCCUGCGGCUUAACCGCAGAACUGCAUUUGAAACUGUUGAUCUUGAGUACUGGAGAGGCAGACGGAAUGCCUGGUGUAGCGGUGAAAUGCGUAGAUAUUAGGAGGAACACCAGUGGCGAAGGCGGUCUGCUGGACAGCAACUGACGGUGAGGCGCGAAAGCGUGGGGAGCAAACAGGAUUAGAUACCCGAGUAGUC